Molecule: long non-coding RNA, 1686 nt
Filed under: Equus caballus (horse)
Lineage: Eukaryota; Metazoa; Chordata; Mammalia; Perissodactyla; Equidae
Description: lncRNA (ENSECAG00000050492.1)
Source: RNAcentral
CAGCAAGUCUGGAGUGGGACCCGAGACUGCUUUUCUUUUUUUUUUUUUUAAGAUUGGCACCUGGGCUAACAACUGUUGCCAAUCUUCUUUUUUUUAAAGGAUUGGCACCUGGGCUAACAACUGUUGCCAAUUUUUUUUUCUGCUUUAUCUCCCCAAACCCCCCCGUACACAGUUGUAUAUCUUAGUUGCAGGUGCUUCUAGUUGUGGGAUGUGGGAUGCCACCUCAACGUGGCCUGACCAGCAGUGCCAUGUCCGCGCCCAGGAUCCAAACCCUGGGCUGCUGCAGCGGAGCGCGCGAACUUAACCACUUGGCAACAGAGCCGGCCUCGAGACUCUGCUUUUCUAACAAGGCCUCCUCCCCAACCCCUCCACCUGAGGCUGGUGGACCACACUUUGACUACCAAGGCUGUCGGUCAUGGUGAGGAUGUGGAUUUAUUUUAAGGGCCAAGGGAAGCCCCUGGAGAGUUUGAAACAGGGCAGUGUUGUGAGCUGUCCUACCACAUGGAAGGGUCAUCCCUGCCGCUGUGUAAAGGACAAAGCCUUUGGUGGCAGGGAGGUGGUGGGCUACAGUGGAAGGGGAGGCCCAGUGUCUGCUGUGGCCCAGAGACGACAUAAAAGGAUUCCCCUGCUCUCUCCAAGCAGGAAUGUAUGCAGGGAAGCAAGCAUAGCACCUGUGCCCAGCAUAGGAGGCCAACAGUGCACAGGGGUCGUUGUUAUUAUCAAAUCUGGGAGUGGGCAGAGUGGGGAUGCUUGAGGGCUGAGGAAACGGUCCUCUUCCUGCUUGUCACCUUGUCUGCCUCCCAUGGGGGAUGCGCCUUUGUGUGCUGGAUCGAGAGCUUUCUCUCCUCGGCCACUGUAGGGCCCAGUUCCACGUGAUGGAGAAUGGCACACCCUCUGGGAAGACCCAGCAGCCAGGUUGAAGAGCGGGAGCAGAGAGUUUCCCAGAAUUCCACGAGGCUGCCUAGACCUGACCCAGAGCCUGGCACCAUGUGACCGGCAGCCCUUCCAAAAGUCCCAAAUGUUCCCUCGGCCUGUCACACCCCUUCUUUUGGGUGCUCAGAGUUCAAAGGGAAAGAAUUUUUCUUCCAAAGGAGUGGCUGUGAGGGUUUGAUAACAGACUCGUCUCUUCAGGCUCCCAGAUUCCCCCCAGGCCGGGUGAGUCAUGCUGCUAGAAAAUGACAAACACGGGUAAAUAAGAUAAUAGGAAUGACACAGGCUGGGCUCCAAGGCCGCUAGCAGGAAGGAGGCUGCAUUUAGAAGAGGAGGAUGAUUGUGAAUAAGGGAUCCACAAAAGAUUUUUUUUCUCUCAUCCUGGUUACAGACAGUAUUUCACAAGGUGUUUUUUUCCACCGGGAGCUGCCUGAGUCUGGCGGGCCCAGCAUUACUCAUGGCGGAGGGAGGUUGCAACCUGACUUCAAGGCCCGGGGAUGGAGGGAUGUGUGCAAACCUUCCUUCAAAAGUUGCAGGAAACAGCAGCACCCUCCCCAAGCCACAGCAGCUGGUUCUGCCGCAGAGGACUGAUCUCGGCCUCAUUUUCUCCCCAGAAUCCUCCAUCAAAACGAAUUUGGACACAACUAGAAGGACCCACAACUAAAAUAUACAACUAUGUAUUGGGGGGAUUUGGGGAGAAAAACCAGGGGAAAAAAGAAAAGAAGAUUGGCAACAGUUGUUAGCUCAGGUGCCAAU